CAGCAGCCGCGGUAAUACGUAGGGUCCGAGCGUUGUCCGGAAUUAUUGGGCGUAAAGGGCUCGUAGGCGGUUUGUUGCGUCGGGAGUGAAAACCCAGGGCUUAACUUUGGGCUUGCUUUCGAUACGGGCAGACUUGAGGCAUUGAGGGGAGAACGGAAUUCCUGGUGUAGCGGUGAAAUGCGCAGAUAUCAGGAGGAACACCGGUGGCGAAGGCGGUUCUCUGGCAAUGUUCUGACGCUGAGGAGCGAAAGUGUGGGGAGCGAACAGGAUUAGAGACCCCUGUAGUCCCUGUCUCUUAUAA
RNAcentral lists this ribosomal RNA (301 nucleotides) under uncultured bacterium. RNAcentral's name for it is "partial 16S ribosomal RNA". It matches the Rfam family "Bacterial small subunit ribosomal RNA", at positions 509 to 809 of the family's 1533-position model. The record is from RNAcentral.